GGUUGUGGCUCAGUGGCAGAGCACUUGCCUUGUACAUGUGAGGCACUGGGUUCAAUCCUCAGCACCA
This 67-nucleotide transfer RNA is filed under the name Marmota monax (woodchuck). RNAcentral's name for it is "tRNA.Thr". The record is from RNAcentral. Lineage: Eukaryota; Metazoa; Chordata; Mammalia; Rodentia; Sciuridae.